AUUAUAUAUUUUAACAUAAAAAAUUAUUUAAAAAGUAAUCAUAACCACUUACAAACAUGCAUACCAGGAGGGUUGCUUCUUUAGCCAUCCAGAGUAGAACCAGUAUGCGUGGAGCUUGGAAUCUCCGUGCAGAUUUUUUUGUUGGGUUUUGUGUUGGUUUAUGCGGUGCUUAUGUUGUUUUGGGUGCUUAGCUUAGCUGGGAACCUUUUGUUGCUGCUGAGCUCCUCUUUUCUUCCAAUCUUUUGAUUCUUUGAGGCUCAGUGUCAUUUGGCAGGGGGGCUCUCAGCUAAGCUCGAUUCUGUUGUGUAUGGCCCUCUGAUUGUCUUUGCUUGAACACCUUUCAAGCUGCUGGGCGUUCCUCUUGGUUCAGCUUGGUUCACAUUGCCGUGAGCUUCUUUUAUGCUUUAGUUGUAAGGUGUUGCCGCCUUCUUUUUUGUUGCCUCUAUUCCAUGCCUUUGAAGGACACCUUUGUUCUUUCUUUUCAUGCUCUUUCAGUCUUUUUGCUUGGUUGCAUUUUCCUCUUUCAGAUUUCUGUUGUUCCCUUCAUUUACAUGCUUUUUUCAUGCUUGACAUUUUUUCACCUGCCAGCCACCUACAAUAUUUUGUUCAUUCACCGGCACUUGCUUUUAUUACGUGCAGGAAAUCUGUGUAGCAUUUCAUUCCUUUCUGCCUCUCAGAAGGCUUCUUGAGAUUAAUUCGAUAACGUGCUUUUACUGUUUUCAUUUAUGGUUUUUCCAUGGCUGUUAUAAAAUGCACCUUCUCACUCUUGCCUGUAUUGUUAACUGUUAAUCAUAACUUACUUAACCAUCAUGAAAACUGGUUGUUGAUGUGUUAAGCUGUAGAAGAACAACAGGUCACAGAGAAGCAACGAGAUUGUAUCUCAAAUGACCAUACUGCAACAAACUAGCUACCCAAUAUUCAAAGUUUUGAAAUCAACAAGAUUGUAUCUGUUUAAGUUGAAUUUUAAACUCGUGUGAUAUACAUGCAAAUAUGUGGGAUAGCAGUUAGUAUUAUUUUCUAUUUAAACUCUCUAUAAAUACACAUACACAUAGUAAUACAAGAGAACAUUACAGCAUUUUAGCAUUCUUCUUCACAA
Molecule: RNA transcript, 1096 nt
Organism: Populus euphratica (Euphrates poplar)
Lineage: Eukaryota; Viridiplantae; Streptophyta; Magnoliopsida; Malpighiales; Salicaceae
Exons: 2
Source: RefSeq, a predicted model, not a curated record